Phascolarctos cinereus (koala) is the source of this 875-nucleotide long non-coding RNA. RefSeq lists it as uncharacterized. Lineage: Eukaryota; Metazoa; Chordata; Mammalia; Diprotodontia; Phascolarctidae. The record is from RefSeq and is a predicted model, not a curated record.
GGGCUGGGCACAGAGGGAGGUGUGUAAAUAAGCAGAUUAGGGCUGGAUUCUAAAACAUCCUUAAAAAUGAGAACUUUCCAAAGAUGGCAUGGACUACAUCUAGAGGUGCUAAGUUCCACAUCGCUAAAGCUCCUGAGUGACCACUGCUUUGGGGUAUGGGCUUUUCAUGCUGGCUGUUUCUGGCAUCAGAAACCCAAGGGCUCUGGCUUCACUCCCCUGGAUCUCUCAGCCCUCCAGUGGAGAUGUCAAAUGUUCAUGCUGCAGGGAAAAGCAGGCAGUGAAAAUACAAUCAACAAGCAUUUAUUAGGUGCUUCCUGUGCACCAGGCACCAUGCUAAGCUCUGGAAAUACAAAGACAAAAAGAGCUUCCACUCUCUCAGGGAAGAUGGCCCCAGAUGGCGCUUCACAUCCAGCUCCCUGGGCCAUCUGGAGGCAUGGCGCCGUCCAUUCUGGUGUCGCACGAACACGUACGUACGUUGUAUGAUAGCAAGUGUUUAAUACAUGCUAUUGAUCAUGCUAACUCCCCGUACUAAGAAUGUAAUUUCUGUCUUUGUCCCAAUACCUGGCACGGGCUAGGUUCCCGCUGCUCAGAGAGUGUGUCAGGCCACUGGGAGGCCUUCAUCCCUACUCCCACCCUAGUCCUUCCUGCAGUCCAGGUUCCCCUAGGACUUCCCCUUCCUCCCGACUUUGUUGCCAACAGAUGAGAAAACUGAGGCUCAUGCAUGUAAAAAGAUCUGCCCAGGGUCGCACAGUUGGAAAGCGUUCGAAGGCGGGCUUUGAACUCAGGUCUCCCCUGACUCUAAGUCAGCUCCCCUCAUUUCAACCAUGCUCCUAGUAAGACUAGACUUAAACUUCCCUUAGUAUACUCACUCACUU